CUCGCGCCCGGGAACUCCGCCGAGGCCGCGGCGAGGGGCGGGGCGCGAGGGAGGUCCGCAGCCCGGAAGUCGGUGUGCCCGGAGCUAACGGGAGGCCCCGGCGAGCGGUCGGCAGGGCGGGAUCCAGGAUUCAACCUGGAAUCAUUUCAUUUCAGCCUGAAGCAGUUCCUUUAAUAUUUCUUGUACUGUGGGUCUACUGGUUAAACAGUUUAAAAUGAGAAAACUUGACCUUUGUUUGGGCUCUGAAGGGUCUGAAGUGAUUUUGGCUACAUCAAGUGAUGAAAAACACCCACCUGAGAGUAUCAUUGAUGGGAAUCCAGAAACAUUUUGGACAACCACAGGAAUGUUUCCCCAGGAAUUUAUUAUUUUUUUUCACAAACAUGUGAGGAUUGAAAGGUUUAUAAUCCAAAGUUACUUCGUGCGGACCUUAAAGAUUGAAAGGACCACGUCUAAAGAUCCAGUUGAUUUUGAACAGUGGAUUGAAAAAGACUUUGUACACACAGAGGGGCAGCUUCAAACUGAAGAAGUUUUGGAGGCGAGCCCAGGCCCAGGCUUCUUCAGAUGGAGUCUCAGCAUUCUAAAAGGUAGCAAGAAAGGAAAAGCCUCAGUGUACAAACACCUUUGAGCUUCUACUUGCCAACAGAUUUACUGUUGUCCUUUGGACCAAAUCAUGUCAUGCAGCCAUGUCUAACAUCAGAACAAGAGGGGUCUCCCCAAGGGUGUGAAUACAGGAAGCAUAAACAGAGCAGGUGGGCGGGGUGGGGUGGGUGGGGGAAGGGAGGGUUGUUACCGCUACACAAUCAAACACAGCACGCCUCCUGAUGUGACACUCUGUGCUGCACACAGAUCAACCUAUGAAAUACACUGGCCAGGGGCAUUACCCCAUUUUUAUUUUAUUUUAUUUUAUUUUUUUGAGACAGAAUCUCAAGUUGUUGCCCUGAGUAGAGUGCCAAUGUGUCACAACUCACAGUAACUUCAAGCUCUUGGGCUUAAGUGAUUCUCUUGCUUCAGCGUCCCAAGUAGCUUGAGCUACAGGUGUCUGCUACAACACCCGACUAAUUUUUGGUUGUAGUUGUCAUUGUUGUUUGGCACACCCAGGUUGGAUUCGAACCCACCAGCUCCGGUGCAUGUGGCUGGUACCCUAGCCGCUGCACUACAGGCGCCGAGCCAGGGUGAGCAUUUAAUUACCAACAUAAGACCCUUCAGAGUUCUUUUCUUCACCCCCUUCACCACCACCCCCCACCCCCCCGUCCCAUGAUGGCCAGCAAUGUUUUAUGUAGUAAUUACUUUCUCUAUCUGGGUCUGGGAGUGAGACUGAUGAUGUUUAACAGAUAGCAGAGCUCCCACGCACUCGGAGAUGGACAUACAAAAGGAGUGAGAAAUAAAGCUUCAUUGUUUUAAGCCAUGAGAUUUGGGAAUUGCUCGUGACCAUGGUAUAAUGUAGCUUUUUCUAAUGAUACAAACACAAAUCCAGAAUGUGGCCCUCCUACAGGACAAGUGACCUGGUUUCUUCAGCAAAUCGGUGGCAUAGAAAAUGUUAAUUAAGGAAGAGGGUCCAUUGUAGAUUCAAGGAGACAUAAAGGCCCCUUUAAUCACAUGUCAUGUGUGGAUCAUGAUGGAGACCGAUUUGAAUAAACAAAUUGAAAAAGGACAAACUUAAGAACACUUGAGGAAAUUGUGGACUGGGUAUUAUUCAUUUUGCCAGGAGUGAAUUAAAAAAAUGAAUUCAUACUGAUGUAAGAGAAACAGCACAAAAGAACAAAACAAAUAUGUAAGAAGAUGCCUGUGUUUUUGUAGAAAUUUGCAGGGAACUAUGUGUGGGUGAAAUGGCAUGCGUGAUAUCUGGCAUUUGCUUUAAAACACAAGAGCACACAUUUUUUAUAAUGGAAAGUGGGUUAGUUGAAGCAAAUGCGACAAUAAAUGAUUAAGUCUAGGUGAUGGACAUAUGGAGGUUCAUUGUGCUAGUCUUUCUGCUUUUAUUAUAUGCUUGAAACUCUUCCUAAUAAAGAAUAGAAAUAAACAAUGCGAUAGAGGACAUCCUUGAGUGUACAUGGGAUGGAAUCUCAUGAGAUUCCAAGAUGGAAAUUAGUCCACGUUAGGAACAGUUUUCAGGCUCCCAGUUCUUCCUGAUUGCUUGCCAAGAUUUGUUACACAGGUUUACUCUUGGAAAGGUAAGUGGGGGCGAGUAGGGAAGGCGUUUCAAGAGCAGCGUUGCUGUAAUGGAAGAUGUGAAGAUGAGAACUUAUUCAUAAAACACCUUUGGGGAAAGAUGAACAGGUAAGUCUAACUAGAGCAAAGAGUAAGUCUAAAACCAAACAUUGCAGCUAGAUCACAGGCCUUUCACGUUUUCAGAUAUUUUCUUGUAACACCGGAACCCUUUAAGGUUUCCGAGAAGGAAUGCGAGUUAGAACAAUUGUGUUUAUGUUCAAUAAAAUGAAAUGCUGAGGAUUUUCUUCUUGCCGAGUGCCUGAACUGAAACGUCAGUAGCUCUUCCUGUGAUAAGCACUGUGGGACGGCUCGCAGGCUGGAAGGGAUCUCCAGCGGUUAUUUGAGUGAUCUCUUUGGCACAGAGGGUCUUUUCUCUUUGUCUUCUGUGGAUGCAGAGAGCAAGUGAUCACUGUAGAAUUUGCAAUACCACUUACUGUCUGACAUUUGAAAACACUAGCCUUCAUCUUCAUCUUCCUAGGAUUUAAAAAAUUCAUUUUCACCUAUGAAACUACUCCAGUUUCAGGAAAUAGAUUAGAUACAUGGCUUUACCUUUAUGCUUUGUUUUGAUUUUCAUUGCCUAACCUCGUCUUUUUAAUUUAAAGUCUCAUUUCUCCUCAGUUGACAUCUUCUUUUUUUUUUUUUGUAGAGACAGAGUCUCACUGUACCGCCCUCGGGUAGAGUGCCGUGGCGUCACACGGCUCACAGCAACCUCUAACUCUUGGGCUUACGCGAUUCUGUUGCCUCAGCCUCCGGAGCAGCUGGGACUACAGGCGCCCCCCACAACGCCCGGCUAUUUUUUGUUGUUGUUGUUGCAGUUUGGCCGGGGCUGGGUUUGAACCCGCCACCCUUGUUAUAUGGGGCCGGUGCCCUACUCACUGAGCCACAGGCGCUGCCCUCAGUUGACAUCUUCUAUCCCCUUUCAUGGGGCCUUUUCUCCACCUGCCCAGGGACCCCGGUCAUUGCCCUGUGUGCUGUGUGACUGAGGUUUGGUGUUGGCUGUGUCUGCUGGUAUCUGCAUAGCUAGCUUCCUCAUUUACUUCAGACCAUUACUCAAAAUUUCCUCCUUGACUGGGUGUGGUGGCUCACA
This is an RNA transcript of Nycticebus coucang (slow loris), 3295 nucleotides long. It is a transcript of the gene named intraflagellar transport 25, with no coding region annotated. The transcript has 8 exons. Lineage: Eukaryota; Metazoa; Chordata; Mammalia; Primates; Lorisidae. The record is from RefSeq and is a predicted model, not a curated record.